Molecule: ribosomal RNA, 1281 nt
Filed under: uncultured forest soil bacterium
Lineage: Bacteria
Description: bacterial SSU rRNA
Rfam family: Bacterial small subunit ribosomal RNA
Source: RNAcentral
GAACGAGAAAGUGGAGCAAUCCAUGAGUAAAGUGGCGCACGGGUGAGUAACACGUGACUAACCUACCCUUGAGUGGGGAAUAACUUCGGGAAACCGAGGCUAAUACCGCAUAACACCUACGGGUCAAAGGAGCAAUUCGCUUAAGGAGGGGGUCGCGGCAGAUUAGUUAGUUGGCGGGGUAAUGGCCCACCAAGACGGUGAUCUGUAUCCGGCCUGAGAGGGCGCACGGACACACUGGAACUGAAACACGGUCCAGACUCCUACGGGAGGCAGCAGUGGGGAAUUUUGCGCAAUGGGGGAAACCCUGACGCAGCAACGCCGCGUGGAGGAUGAAGUCCCUUGGGACGUAAACUCCUUUCGAUCGGGACGAUUAUGACGGUACCGGAAGAAGAAGCCCCGGCUAACUUCGUGCCAGCAGCCGCGGUAAUACGAGGGGGGCGAGCGUUGUUCGGAAUUAUUGGGCGUAAAGGGCGCGUAGGCGGCUGGAUAAGUCUUGUGUGAAAUCUUCGGGCUCAACUCGAAGUCUGCACAGGAAACUAUCCGGCUUGAGUGUGGGAGAGGUGAGUGGAAUUCCUGGUGUAGCGGUGAAAUGCGUAGAUAUCAGGAGGAACACCUGUGGCGAAAGCGGCUCACUGGACCACAACUGACGCUGAGGCGCGAAAGCUAGGGGAGCAAACAGGAUUAGAUACCCUGGUAGUCCUAGCCCUAAACGAUGAUCGCUUGGUGUGACGGGUACCCCAUCCCGCCGUGCCGAAGCUAACGCGUUAAGCGAUCCGCCUGGGGAGUACGGUCGCAAGGCUGAAACUCAAAGGAAUUGACGGGGGCCCGCACGAGCGGUGGAGCAUGUGGUUUAAUUCGACGCAACGCGAAGAACCUUACCUGGGCUCGAAAUGUAGUGGAAUCCGGUGGAAACAUCGGCGCCCAGCAAUGGGCCGCUAUAUAGGUGCUGCAUGGCUGUCGUCAGCUCGUGUCGUGAGAUGUUGGGUUAAGUCCCGCAACGAGCGCAACCCUUGUUACCAGUUGCUACCAUUUAGUUGAGCACUCUGGUGAGACCGCCUCGGAUAACGGGGAGGAAGGCGGGGAUGACGUCAAGUCCUCAUGGCCUUUAUGUCCAGGGCUACACACGUGCUACAAUGGCCGGUACAAACCGUCGCAAACCCGUGAGGGGGAGCUAAUCGGAAAAAGCCGGCCUCAGUUCGGAUUGGAGUCUGCAACUCGACUCCAUGAAGCUGGAAUCGCUAGUAAUCGCGGAUCAGAACGCCGCGGUGAAUACGUUCCCGG